AGCGGGGGACGGGUGAGUAAUGCUUAUGAAUCUGCCUAUUAGUGGGGGACAACAUUCCGAAAGGAAUGCUAAUACCGCAUACGUCCUACGGGAGAAAGCAGGGGAUCUUCGGACCUUGCGCUAAUAGAUGAGCCUAAGUCGGAUUAGCUAGUUGGUGGGGUAAAGGCCUACCAAGGCGACGAUCUGUAGCGGGUCUGAGAGGAUGAUCCGCCACACUGGGACUGAGACACGGCCCAGACUCCUACGGGAGGCAGCAGUGGGGAAUAUUGGACAAUGGGGGGAACCCUGAUCCAGCCAUGCCGCGUGUGUGAAGAAGGCCUUAUGGUUGUAAAGCACUUUAAGCGAGGAGGAGGCUACUGAGACUAAUACUCUUGGAUAGUGGACGUUACUCGCAGAAUAAGCACCGGCUAACUCUGUGCCAGCAGCCGCGGUAAUACAGAGGGUGCGAGCGUUAAUCGGAUUUACUGGGCGUAAAGCGUGCGUAGGCGGCUUUUUAAGUCGGAUGUGAAAUCCCCGAGCUUAACUUGGGAAUUGCAUUCGAUACUGGGAAGCUAGAGUAUGGGAGAGGAUGGUAGAAUUCCAGGUGUAGCGGUGAAAUGCGUAGAGAUCUGGAGGAAUACCGAUGGCGAAGGCAGCCAUCUGGCCUAAUACUGACGCUGAGGUACGAAAGCAUGGGGAGCAAACAGGAUUAGAUACCCUGGUAGUCCAUGCCGUAAACGAUGUCUACUAGCCGUUGGGGCCUUUGAGGCUUUAGUGGCGCAGCUAACGCGAUAAGUAGACCGCCUGGGGAGUACGGUCGCAAGACUAAAACUCAAAUGAAUUGACGGGGGCCCGCACAAGCGGUGGAGCAUGUGGUUUAUU
This 861-nucleotide ribosomal RNA is filed under the name uncultured bacterium. RNAcentral's name for it is "bacterial SSU rRNA". It matches the Rfam family "Bacterial small subunit ribosomal RNA", at positions 94 to 950 of the family's 1533-position model. The record is from RNAcentral.